This 120-nucleotide transfer RNA is filed under the name Mortierella sp. AD032. It matches the Rfam family "tRNA". Rfam says of the family: Transfer RNA (tRNA) molecules are approximately 80 nucleotides in length. Their secondary structure includes four short double-helical elements and three loops (D, anti-codon, and T loops). Further hydrogen bonds mediate the characteristic L-shaped molecular structure. tRNAs have two regions of fundamental functional importance: the anti-codon, which is responsible for specific mRNA codon recognition, and the 3' end, to which the tRNAs corresponding amino acid is attached (by aminoacyl-tRNA synthetases). tRNAs cope with the degeneracy of the genetic code in two manners: having more than one tRNA (with a specific anti-codon) for a particular amino acid; and 'wobble' base-pairing, i.e. permitting non-standard base-pairing at the 3rd anti-codon position. Lineage: Eukaryota; Fungi; Mortierellomycota; Mortierellomycetes; Mortierellales; Mortierellaceae. The record is from Rfam by way of RNAcentral.
GAAGAGGUGGCCGAGAGGUCCAAGGCGCCGCAUCAUGAAGAUCAGCUUUGAUUCCUCUUGGAUUCAAAACACUGCGGUCUGUUCUAAGAACAGUCGUGGGUUCAAAUCCCUCCCUCUUCC